UGAGCAGGCUAAGGUGGAAGACGACGA
Molecule: non-coding RNA, 27 nt
Filed under: Homo sapiens (human)
Lineage: Eukaryota; Metazoa; Chordata; Mammalia; Primates; Hominidae
Source: RNAcentral